Molecule: ribosomal RNA, 938 nt
Filed under: Lactiplantibacillus plantarum
Lineage: Bacteria; Bacillati; Bacillota; Bacilli; Lactobacillales; Lactobacillaceae
Description: bacterial SSU rRNA
Rfam family: Bacterial small subunit ribosomal RNA
Source: RNAcentral
GNGNUGCNAUNAUGCAGUCGAACGAACUCUGGUAUUGAUUGGUGCUUGCAUCAUGNUUUACAUUUGAGUGAGUGGCGAACUGGUGAGUAACACGUGGGAAACCUGCCCAGAAGCGGGGGAUAACACCUGGAAACAGAUGCUAAUACCGCAUAACAACUUGGACCGCAUGGUCCGAGYUUGAAAGAUGGCUUCGGCUAUCACUUUUGGAUGGUCCCGCGGCGUAUUAGCUAGAUGGUGRGGUAACGGCUCACCAUGGCAAUGAUACGUAGCCGACCUGAGAGGGUAAUCGGCCACAUUGGGACUGAGACACGGCCCAAACUCCUACGGGAGGCAGCAGUAGGGAAUCUUCCACAAUGGACGAAAGUCUGAUGGAGCAACGCCGCGUGAGUGAAGAAGGGUUUCGGCUCGUAAAACUCUGUUGUUAAAGAAGAACAUAUCUGAGAGUAACUGUUCAGGUAUUGACGGUAUUUAACCAGAAAGCCACGGCUAACUACGUGCCAGCAGCCGCGGUAAUACGUAGGUGGCAAGCGUUGUCCGGAUUUAUUGGGCGUAAAGCGAGCGCAGGCGGUUUUUUAAGUCUGAUGUGAAAGCCUUCGGCUCAACCGAAGAAGUGCAUCGGAAACUGGGAAACUUGAGUGCAGAAGAGGACAGUGGAACUCCAUGUGUAGCGGUGAAAUGCGUAGAUAUAUGGAAGAACACCAGUGGCGAAGGCGGCUGUCUGGUCUGUAACUGACGCUGAGGCUCGAAAGUAUGGGUAGCAAACAGGAUUAGAUACCCUGGUAGUCCAUACCGUAAACGAUGAAUGCUAAGUGUUGGAGGGUUUCCGCCCUUCAGUGCUGCAGCUAACGCAUUAAGCAUUCCGCCUGGGGAGUACGGCCGCAAGGCUGAACUCAAGGAAUUGACGGGGGCCCGCACAGCGGUGGAGCAUGUGGUUUAAU